GACGAACGCUGGCGGCGUGCUUAACACAUGCAAGUCGAACGGAAAGGCCUGUCCUUCCUUGUGUUGGACGGGUACUCGAGUGGCGAACGGGUGAGUAACACGUGAGUGAUCUGCCCCCAACUUGGGUAUAAGCCUGGGAAACUGGGUCUAAUUCCCGAUAGGACUGCAGGGUGGUGCCGGUGGUGGAAAACGAUUUUCUAGUGGUUGGGGAUGAGCUCGCGGCCUAGCAGCUUGUUGGUGGGGGAAUGGCCUACCAAGGCGGCGACGGGUAGCCGGCCUGAGGUGGUGGACGGCCACAUUGGGACUGAGAUACGGCCCAGGCUCCUACGGGCGGCAGCAGUGGGGAGUAUUGCACAAUGGGCGGAAGCCUGAUGCAGCGACGCCGCGUGGGGGAUGACGGCCUUCGGGUUGUAACCUCCUUUCGACCGCGAGGAAGCCGCCUGGUUGGAAGGGUGGUGACGGUAGUGGUAGAAGAAGCACCGGCUAACUACGUG
Molecule: ribosomal RNA, 494 nt
Filed under: uncultured bacterium
Lineage: Bacteria
Description: partial 16S ribosomal RNA
Rfam family: Bacterial small subunit ribosomal RNA
Source: RNAcentral